GAUGAACGCUGGCGGCGUGCCUAACACAUGCAAGUCGAACGGAAAGACGCGGCCUUUGCCCUGCUGACGAUUGGCGCACGGGUGAGUAAAACAUGUGGAUAACUCCCCUAUUUGGGGGGUAUCACUCGGAAACAGGGGUGAUAACCCCUGAUAACAUCUUGCACCACAGGGGUCACUAGAGACAUACGGCCUUGGGGUCUGCACUUGACGGAUUCGCGCCGGAUUAGCUAGUUGGCGGGGUAACGGCCUACUAAGGGGACGAUGAGUAGCCGGUCGGAGAGGGCGAUCGGCCACACUGGAACUGAGACACGGCCCAGACUCCUACGGGAGGCAGCAGUGGGGAAUGGUCGGCAAUGGGCGAAAGCCUGACGCAGCAAGGCCGCGUGUGUGAAGAAGGCCUUCGGGUCGUAAAGCACGGUUGUGAGGGAAGAACACAUUUGUCCGGAAACGGGCGGGGCUUGACGGUACCGGAUCAAGAAGCAACGGCUAACUACGUG
RNAcentral lists this ribosomal RNA (497 nucleotides) under uncultured bacterium. Its description in RNAcentral is "partial 16S ribosomal RNA". It matches the Rfam family "Bacterial small subunit ribosomal RNA", at positions 28 to 507 of the family's 1533-position model. The record is from RNAcentral.